This 217-nucleotide ribosomal RNA is filed under the name uncultured bacterium. Its description in RNAcentral is "partial 16S ribosomal RNA". It matches the Rfam family "Bacterial small subunit ribosomal RNA", at positions 114 to 334 of the family's 1533-position model. The record is from RNAcentral.
UGCUUCGGAAUCUGCCCUUCAGUGGGGAAUAACCAGUCGAAAGACUGGCUAAUACCGCAUACGAACUACGGUUGAAAGCAGGGGAUCGCAAGACCUUGCGCUGAUGGAUGAGCCGAAGUCGGAUUAGCUGGUUGGUGGGGUAAUGGCCUACCAAGGCGACGAUCCGUAGCUGGUCUGAGAGGACGACCAGCCACACUGGGACUGAGACACGGCCCAG